RNAcentral lists this unclassified non-coding RNA (1652 nucleotides) under Diabrotica virgifera virgifera (western corn rootworm). RNAcentral's name for it is "zinc finger protein 664-like". The record is from RNAcentral. Lineage: Eukaryota; Metazoa; Arthropoda; Insecta; Coleoptera; Chrysomelidae.
UGUGUAAAGUGUAAGGUGUAAGCAAUGACAUAUAGUAUUUUUACUACAGUAAUGUAUGUAAUUUAUAGUAUGUUUAUAAUAAACAUAACAAUAAUGAAAAGUCACAAUCUAAUGUUUUCACAGUUCUCUUACGUCAAAAAUUUUGAUCUAGGUAAAUUUAAUAAUAUGGAAGUCAAACAGGAAGCUAGUGAGAUGAUAUCUUGUAAAGUGGAAACAGAUAAUGAGACCUUUGAUGGUCCUUUGGAUGCCUUCAAAGUCGAAAUCAAAGAAGAACCCAAGACAGAACCCGCAUACGACACGUUUGGCUAUUUAGACUGCAAUGAAUUCCCCCUAAAAACUGAAGUAGAACAAGAACAAGAUGAAUGUAAAUUUACCCCAUCUGAAACAAAGCAGACAGCAAAUGAAAGUUGUUCGCAGGAGCAGAACAAAAUGAAAAGUAUGGAAACAAUAACUGCACAUUCAUCUCAUACUCAUACAGGAAGCUAUACAGGUCGUCACGCUGAAGGAAAACCAUUGAAUAAAAAUAUGGAAGUAGAAACUGGAAGAUCUUAUAAAUGUGAAAUUUGUUUUAAAAAGUUUAGCCAAGCAUAUAAAUUGAAAAUACAUUUGAGAGUACAUACUGGGGGAAAGCCAUACAAGUGUGAAGUUUGUUUUAAACAGUUUAGUGAAGCAAGUUCUUUAAAAAAACAUUUGAGAGUGCAUACAGGAGAAAAACCUUAUAAGUGUGAAAUUUGUUUAAAAAAGUUUACUACUUCAAGUCAUUUGAAACGUCAUUGGAGAAUACACACUGGAGAACAGCCUUAUAAGUGUGAAGUUUGUUUUAAACAGUUUGCUGAUUCAAGUUCUUCAAAAAAACAUUUGAGAUUGCACACUGGAGAAAAACUUACAAAGUGUGAAAUUUGUUUUAAACGAUUUAGUCAAGCAUGUAAUUUGAAACUACAUUUGAGAGUGCACACUGGUGAAAGACCCUACAAAUGUGAAAUUUGUUUUAAACAGUUUAGUCAAAUAGGUAAUUUGAAAAAACAUUUGAGAAUGCACACUGGAGAACAGCCGUAUAAGUGUGAAAUUUGUUUUAAACAGUUUAAUGAAACAUUUAAUUUAAAAAAACAUUUGAGAGUGCACACUGGAGAAAAACCUUAUAAGUGUGAAAUUUGUUUAAAGAGGUUUACUACUUCAAGUCCUUUGAAAAGACAUUUGAGAACGCAUACUGGAGAAAAACUUACAAAGUGUGAAAUUUGUUUUAAAGAGUUUAGUGAAAUAGGUAAUUUGAAAAGACAUUUGAGAAUGCACACUGGAGAACAGCCGUAUAAGUGUGAAAUUUGUUUUAAACAGUUUAAUCAAACAUGUAAUUUAAAAAAACAUUUGAGUGUGCACACUGGAGAAAAACUUACAAAGUGUGAAAUUUGUUUUAAACAGUUUAGUGAAGCAGGUAAUUUAAAAAGACAUUUGAGAUUACACACUAGGGAAACACCUUUGUAGGGGAAAGGAUGAGAUUGUAAUGAAUCGUGGUUUCGGACAACAGACUUAAUAAAACGUUGUUCCCAGGAGCAGAACAAAAUGAAAAGUAUGGAAACAGUAACUGCACAUUCAUCUCAUACUCAUACAGGAAGCUAUACAGGUCGUCACGCUGAAGGAAAACCAUUGAAUAAAAA